UCGGGGGGGGGGCCUAAUACAUGCCAAGUCGAACGAGUUCUGAUUAUUGAAAGGUGCUUGCAUCUUGAUUUAAUUUUGAACGAGUGGCGGACGGGUGAGUAACACGUGGGUAACCUGCCCUUAAGUGGGGGAUAACAUUUGGAAACAGAUGCUAAUACCGCAUAAAUCCAAGAACCGCAUGGUUCUUGGCUGAAAGAUGGCGUAAGCUAUCGCUUUUGGAUGGACCCGCGGCGUAUUAGCUAGUUGGUGAGGUAACGGCUCACCAAGGCAAUGAUACGUAGCCGAACUGAGAGGUUGAUCGGCCACAUUGGGACUGAGACACGGCCCAAACUCCUACGGGAGGCAGCAGUAGGGAAUCUUCCACAAUGGACGCAAGUCUGAUGGAGCAACGCCGCGUGAGUGAAGAAGGCUUUCGGGUCGUAAAACUCUGUUGUUGGAGAAGAAUGGUCGGCAGAGUAACUGUUGUCGGCGUGACGGUAUCCAACCAGAAAGCCACGGCUAACUACGUGCCAGCAGCCGCGGUAAUACGUAGGUGGCAAGCGUUAUCCGGAUUUAUUGGGCGUAAAGCGAGCGCAGGCGGUUUUUUAAGUCUGAUGUGAAAGCCCUCGGCUUAACCGAGGAAGUGCAUCGGAAACUGGGAAACUUGAGUGCAGAAGAGGACAGUGGAACUCCAUGUGUAGCGGUGAAAUGCGUAGAUAUAUGGAAGAACACCAGUGGCGAAGGCGGCUGUCUGGUCUGUAACUGACGCUGAGGCUCGAAAGCAUGGGUAGCGAACAGGAUUAGAUACCCUGGUAGUCCAUGCCGUAAACGAUGAAUGCUAGGUGUUGGAGGGUUUCCGCCCUUCAGUGCCGCAGCUAACGCAUUAAGCAUUCCGCCUGGGGAGUACGACCGCAAGGUUGAAACUCAAAGGAAUUGACGGGGGCCCGCACAAGCGGUGGAGCAUGUGGUUUAAUUCGAAGCAACGCGAAGAACCUUACCAGGUCUUGACAUCUUUUGAUCACCUGAGAGAUCAGGUUUCCCCUUCGGGGGCAAAAUGACAGGUGGUGCAUGGUUGUCGUCAGCUCGUGUCGUGAGAUGUUGGGUUAAGUCCCGCAACGAGCGCAACCCUUAUGACUAGUUGCCAGCAUUUAGUUGGGCACUCUAGUAAGACUGCCGGUGACAAACCGGAGGAAGGUGGGGAUGACGUCAAAUCAUCAUGCCCCUUAUGACCUGGGCUACACACGUGCUACAAUGGAUGGUACAACGAGUUGCGAGACCGCGAGGUCAAGCUAAUCUCUUAAAGCCAUUCUCAGUUCGGACUGUAGGCUGCAACUCGCCUACACGAAGUCGGAAUCGCUAGUAAUCGCGGAUCAGCACGCCGCGGUGAAUACGUUCCCGGGCCUUGUACACACCGCCCGUCACACCAUGAGAGUUUGUAACACCCGAAGCCGGUGGCGUAACCCUUUUAGGGAGCGAGCCGUCUAAGGGUGGUCCAAAA
RNAcentral lists this ribosomal RNA (1477 nucleotides) under Lacticaseibacillus rhamnosus. RNAcentral's name for it is "bacterial SSU rRNA". It matches the Rfam family "Bacterial small subunit ribosomal RNA". Lineage: Bacteria; Bacillati; Bacillota; Bacilli; Lactobacillales; Lactobacillaceae. The record is from RNAcentral.